GCCCUGGUAGCUCAGUUGGUUAGAGUGUUACCUUGGUAAGGUAGAGGUCGGGAGUUCGAUUCUCCCCCAGGGCU
RNAcentral lists this transfer RNA (74 nucleotides) under Nanobdellota archaeon. Its description in RNAcentral is "tRNA-Thr". It matches the Rfam family "tRNA". Rfam says of the family: Transfer RNA (tRNA) molecules are approximately 80 nucleotides in length. Their secondary structure includes four short double-helical elements and three loops (D, anti-codon, and T loops). Lineage: Archaea; Nanobdellati; Nanobdellota. The record is from RNAcentral.